Molecule: ribosomal RNA, 253 nt
Filed under: uncultured bacterium
Lineage: Bacteria
Description: partial 16S ribosomal RNA
Rfam family: Bacterial small subunit ribosomal RNA
Source: RNAcentral
UACGUAGGGUGCGAGCGUUGUCCGGAAUUACUGGGCGUAAAGAGCUUGUAGGUGGUUUGUCGCGUUGUUCGUGAAAUCUCACGGCUUAACUGUGAGCGUGCGGGCGAUACGGGCAGACUAGAGUACUGCAGGGGAGACUGGAAUUCCUGGUGUAGCGGUGGAAUGCGCAGAUAUCAGGAGGAACACCGGUGGCGAAGGCGGCUAUCUGGACAGUGACUGACGCUGAGACGCGAAAGCGUGGGGAGCAAACAGG